This 465-nucleotide ribosomal RNA is filed under the name Vreelandella stevensii. RNAcentral's name for it is "partial 16S ribosomal RNA". It matches the Rfam family "Bacterial small subunit ribosomal RNA", at positions 338 to 795 of the family's 1533-position model. The record is from RNAcentral. Lineage: Bacteria; Pseudomonadati; Pseudomonadota; Gammaproteobacteria; Oceanospirillales; Halomonadaceae.
CCUACGGGUGGCAGCAGUGGGGAAUAUUGGACAAUGGGGGCAACCCUGAUCCAGCCAUGCCGCGUGUGUGAAGAAGGCCCUCGGGUUGUAAAGCACUUUCAGUGAGGAAGAACGCCUGGUGGUUAAUACCCAUCAGGAAAGACAUCACUCACAGAAGAAGCACCGGCUAACUCCGUGCCAGCAGCCGCGGUAAUACGGAGGGUGCGAGCGUUAAUCGGAAUUACUGGGCGUAAAGCGCGCGUAUGUGGCUUGAUAAGCCGGUUGUGAAAGCCCCGGGCUCAACCUGGGAACGGCAUCCGGAACUGUCAAGCUAGAGUGCAGGAGAGGAAGGUAGAAUUCCCGGUGUAGCGGUGAAAUGCGUAGAGAUCGGGAGGAAUACCAGUGGCGAAGGCGGCCUUCUGGACUGACACUGCCACUGAGGUGCGAAAGCGUGGGUAGCAAACAGGAUUAGAUACCCCAGUAGUC